UGACGGUACUUUACCAGAAAGCACCGGCUAACUACGUGCCAGCAGCCGCGGUAAAACGUAGGGUGCAAGCGUUGUCCGGAAUUACUGGGUGUAAAGGGAGCGCAGGCGGACCGGCAAGUUGGAAGUGAAAACCAUGGGCUCAACCCGUGAAUUGCUUUCAAAACUGCUGGCCUUGAGUAGUGCAGAGGUAGGUGGAAUUCCCGGUGUAGCGGUGGAAUGCGUAGAUAUCGGGAGGAACACCAGUGGCGAAGGCGACCUACUGGGCACCAACUGACGCUGAGGCUCGAAAGCAUGGGUAGCAAACAGGAUUAGAUACCCUGGUAGUCCAUGCCGUAAACGAUGAUUACUAGGUGUUGGAGGAUUGACCCCUUCAGUGCCGCAGUUAACACAAUAAGUAAUCCACCUGGGGAGUACGACCGCAAGGUUGAAACUCAAAGGAAUUGACGGGGGCCCGCACAAGCAGUGGAGUAUGUGGUUUAAUUCGAAGCAACGCGAAGAACCUUACCAGGUCUUGACAUCCGAUGCAUAGUGCAGAGAUGCAUGAAGUCCUUCGGGACAUCGAGACAGGUGGUGCAUGGUUGUCGUCAGCUCGUGUCGUGAGAUGUUGGGUUAAGUCCCGCAACGAGCGCAACCCUUAUUGCCAGUUACUACGCAAGAGGACUCUGGCGAGACUGCCGUUGACAAAACGGAGGAAGGUGGGGAUGACGUCAAAUCAUCAUGCCCUUUAUGACCUGGGCUACACACGUACUACAAUGGCGUUUAACAAAGAGAAGCAAGACCGCGAGGUGGAGCAAAACUCAGAAACAACGUCUCAGUUCAGAUUGCAGGCUGCAACUCGCCUGCAUGAAGUCGGAAUUGCUAGUAAUCGCGGAUCAGCAUGCCGCGGUGAAUACGUUCCCGGGCCUUGCACUCACCGCCCGUCA
This 923-nucleotide ribosomal RNA is filed under the name uncultured bacterium. Its description in RNAcentral is "bacterial SSU rRNA". It matches the Rfam family "Bacterial small subunit ribosomal RNA", at positions 470 to 1399 of the family's 1533-position model. The record is from RNAcentral.